RNAcentral lists this ribosomal RNA (495 nucleotides) under uncultured bacterium. RNAcentral's name for it is "bacterial SSU rRNA". It matches the Rfam family "Bacterial small subunit ribosomal RNA", at positions 791 to 1283 of the family's 1533-position model. The record is from RNAcentral.
UAGUCCUAGCAGUAAGCGGUGCUCGCUUGGUGUGAGAGGAUUCGACCCCUUUCGUGCCGGAGCUAUCGCGUUAAGCGAGCCGCCUGGGGAGUACGGUCGCAAGACUAAAACUCAAAGAAAUUGACGGGGACCCGCACAAGCGGUGGAGUAUGUGGCUUAAUUCGAUGCAACGCGAAGAACCUUACCUAGGCUUGACAUGCCGUCAUAUUCUUGUGAAAGCAGGAAGUCAGUUCGGCUGGACGUGCACAGGUGCUGCAUAGCCGUCGUCAGCUCGUGUCGUGAGAUGUUGGGUUAAGUCCCGCAACGAGCGCAACCCCUGUGAUUAGUUGCCAGCACGUAAUGGUGGGGACUCUAGUCAGACUGCCCAGAUCAACUGGGAGGAAGGUGGGGACGACGUCAGGUCAGUAUGGCCCUUAUGCCUAGGGCCGCACACGUACUACAAUGCUCAGUACAAUGAGAACCGAGACCGCGAGGUGGAGGAAAUCUAUAAAACGU